Molecule: microRNA precursor, 74 nt
Organism: Gorilla gorilla gorilla (western lowland gorilla)
Lineage: Eukaryota; Metazoa; Chordata; Mammalia; Primates; Hominidae
Source: Ensembl
UCAGUGAGGUCUGGGGGUGAGGACAGUGUGUCCUGAAAUUCACAGGACUGACUCCUCACCCCAGUGCACGAGGA